AGCAUGUGGUUUAAUUCGAUGCAACGCGAAGAACCUUACCUACUCUUGACAUCCAGAGAACUUUCCAGAGAUGGAUUGGUGCCUUCGGGAACUCUGAGACAGGUGCUGCAUGGCUGUCGUCAGCUCGUGUUGUGAAAUGUUGGGUUAAGUCCCGCAACGAGCGCAACCCUUAUCCUUUGUUGCCAGCGGUUCGGCCGGGAACUCAAAGGAGACUGCCAGUGAUAAACUGGAGGAAGGUGGGGAUGACGUCAAGUCAUCAUGGCCCUUACGAGUAGGGCUACACACGUGCUACAAUGGCAUAUACAAAGAGAAGCGACCUCGCGAGAGCAAGCGGACCUCAUAAAGUAUGUCGUAGUCCGGAUUGGAGUCUGCAACUCGACUCCAUGAAGUCGGAAUCGCUAGUAAUCGUAGAUCAGAAUGCUACGGUGAAUACGUUCCCGGGCCUUGUACACACCGCCCGUCACACCAUGGGAGUGGGUUGCAAAAGAAGUAGGUAGCUUAACCUUCGGGAGGGCGCUUACCACUUUGUGAUUCAUGACUGGGGUGAAGUCGUAACAAGGUAACCAAGGGCGAAUUCCAG
RNAcentral lists this ribosomal RNA (580 nucleotides) under uncultured Serratia sp. Its description in RNAcentral is "bacterial SSU rRNA". It matches the Rfam family "Bacterial small subunit ribosomal RNA", at positions 936 to 1516 of the family's 1533-position model. The record is from RNAcentral. Lineage: Bacteria; Pseudomonadati; Pseudomonadota; Gammaproteobacteria; Enterobacterales; Yersiniaceae.